This 2238-nucleotide unclassified non-coding RNA is filed under the name Hevea brasiliensis (rubber tree). Lineage: Eukaryota; Viridiplantae; Streptophyta; Magnoliopsida; Malpighiales; Euphorbiaceae. The record is from RNAcentral.
UAAAUAUUAGUUUGGAUAUUACAUCCAUGCAAAGUCCAGACGAGAAAUUCUGGGAUAAGCUGCAUUAAGUUGAACAGAACACACCAUAUAACCCUUGAUCCAUUCUCAUGAAUCAUGAUAUAGGGCAGGAGCAAAAUGACUACACCUGGUUUUUCUUAUAACUAGAGCGGUUCGAAAAAAAGAGUCUUUAACUGGUAAGACCUACCUGCAACUGAUAGAAGCAUUUGUCCUACUAAAGUUCCUCCAGGAAAGGCUUGACAAUGCCAAUUUGACCAAGGGAGUUGCAAAAAAGCUACAUUACAUAUACUAACUACCUGAGCCAGGUGCUCCAUCUUUCAAUUCACAUUUUGACAACUACAGUAGGAGUCGUCUCAUCUGCUGCACAUUGACGCCAUCUAAUUGCCAUCCCUCUCAUCUUUCUUGGCAGUCGCUCCAGGAAUAUUCUGUUUCACAGGGGUUGUCUCAUCAUUCCUAUCAAGAGAUUCAAGCUCUACUUCCUCUGGAAUCACAGCAGGAAUAUUAUGCAGCUUAAAUGACAGGUAUGAAGCAUCCUGUAGGAGCUUUCUUUCCUGCAGAUACUUGUAAAGUUCAUCUCUCCAUCCUUUCUCAUUUGCUCGAUCAAUUUUUUUUUGCAACACUUCCAGCUCUCGAGCAAUCCCAUGCUUUGUGAUGUCCUCAUGAAGGAUUUUAGCUUUCUGUUCAAGCUCCACAAUUGUAAGCUUUUCAAGCAGACCCGCUUUCACCUUCUCCUGCAGAUCAUCACAUUCUUCCUUACAAAACUCAUCAUCAGAAAGCAUGGUCAAGCUAACAUCUCUGGCCAUAUUUGAAACUUGAAUUGAAGUCUCACUGUUGCAUUUAUCACUUGAUCUGAGCUUGAUUCCUGCAAUUUGCACAAGCUGAUGAGAGUUACGCUGCUCAUAAUCACGUGGAUCUAACUUGAGCCGAACAAAACUUCCUAUAAUCUUGGUUUCAACGGACUCAGGCUGCUUGAUCAUCUCCUGCACCAAGCUCCUCUUCAGGUAAACGAGUUUGAUAUUUUUAGGAAUCAAGGCUGCAAAUUGACUUUGUGCUGCACUUGAAUACCAAAUUGAGGACAUCUUCUUUUGUUCAACCUUUUUCUCAGUUUUAGGAGCCACCAAAAUUUCUGUGUCAUCGACUUCGAGAUCAUGAUCAAGCUCAUCCUUUUGUAAUUGCUCCUCAUUUUCAAGAAAAUGGCUUUCAAGGAGGCUAAAUAUUCUGUGUCUGUUUACCACUUUCUUCCCAAAAACAGCUUGUAACCGAGCAUCACAAAGGAUUCUUCUCUUUUUAACUGGAUGGAUUAGGUUAUGUUCUUUUAUAUAUUUGGUUACUAUCGAUGUCACAUCAUAUUGGGAUAAUUUUUCUCUGGUAUCUUGCCCAACAAACUGAAGAAAGUCAAUUAGAGUUUUUGAUCCCCAUCCAACAAAUACUUUUUUCUUUAGAUUGACACUUCUUUGCAUCUUUGUUUUAUGCUGUAUACAUCUCUUCUUUUUAAGCCUUUUCUUCUGAGAUUCUCUGUCACUGAAAUCUUCAUUGUCUGAAGAAAUCUGAUCAUCCUCUUCUUCACUGUGUUCGUCCUCUUCUUCACUAUGUUUAUCUGAAUCAGAGCUAAUUUGGCUAAUCUUCGCCUUGUUUAGUUUAGCCUUACCAGCAAGGAGACUAUUCUUGUCAAAUCCUUCUUUUUCUUUUACUAUCUCGUAAUACUCCUUGAAAAGGCCCUCGUAUGUUUCCCGAUCUCUGAGGUCUACGCUUUCCCCAUCAGAAUCAAUACUUUUGUCUUCUUCCACAAGCAAUGCGAGCUUUAGGCAGUUAUUGCAGAAUCCAUGCUUCCCUUUAAGAAGGACAAAAUUGAUACGACCAAUGCAGCGAUAGCAUACAGCUCUAUCACAACAAUAACACUGAUAAUUUGAACUUCUCUUGCAAACUAAGCAUGUAUGCCAUCCACAUGUCCAAUAGAUAUCACUUGUCAAGACUGAGUCAUCUUUCCCCACACAUACAGGGUGAUAAGCUUUCAAACAGUCCCCAUAAUCACAAAUCAUAAGGUUUCCUCCGUCUUUGCAUUCGAAACACCAAUCUUCUGCAAUUUCUGUUUUGUUCAAAAUCGUCCUAUGCCUCUUCUUUGCCAUUUAUACCAGACACCUAUUUCACUUGUUCAACAUAAAACUGAAAACUUUUACUCUGCUAUAACAGAAACACAAAACUGAAAACUUUUACUCUGCU